UUGACCUCGGAUCAGGUAGGAAUACCCGCUGAACUUAAGCAUAUCAAUAAGCGGAGGAAAAGAAACCAACAGGGAUUGCCCUAGUAACGGCGAGUGAAGCGGCAACAGCUCAAAUUUGAAAUCUGGCUUUCGGGCCCGAGUUGUAAUUUGUAGAGGAUGAUUUUGAUGCGGUGCCUUCCGAGUUCCCUGGAACGGGACGCCAUAGAGGGUGAGAGCCCCGUCUGGUUGGAUGCCAAAUCUCUGUAAAUCUCCUUCGACGAGUCGAGUAGUUUGGGAAUGCUGCUCUAAAUGGGAGGUAUAUGUCUUCUAAAGCUAAAUACCGGCCAGAGACCGAUAGCGCACAAGUAGAGUGAUCGAAAGAUGAAAAGCACUUUGAAAAGAGAGUUAAAAAGUACGUGAAAUUGUUGAAAGGGAAGCGUUUAUGACCAGACUUGGGCUUGGUUAAUCAUCUGGGGUUCUCUCCAGUGCACUUUUCCAGUCCAGGCCAGCAUCAGUUUUCGCCGGGGGAUAAAGGCUUCGGGAAUGUGGCUCCCCUCGGGGAGUGUUAUAGCCCGUUGUGUAAUACCCUGGUGGGGACUGAG
RNAcentral lists this ribosomal RNA (581 nucleotides) under Fusarium graminearum. RNAcentral describes it as "eukaryotic LSU rRNA". It matches the Rfam family "Eukaryotic large subunit ribosomal RNA", at positions 1 to 592 of the family's 3401-position model. Lineage: Eukaryota; Fungi; Ascomycota; Sordariomycetes; Hypocreales; Nectriaceae. The record is from RNAcentral.